This 547-nucleotide ribosomal RNA is filed under the name uncultured Terrabacter sp. Its description in RNAcentral is "bacterial SSU rRNA". It matches the Rfam family "Bacterial small subunit ribosomal RNA", at positions 355 to 912 of the family's 1533-position model. The record is from RNAcentral. Lineage: Bacteria; Bacillati; Actinomycetota; Actinomycetes; Micrococcales; Intrasporangiaceae.
UGGGGAAUAUUGCACAAUGGGCGAAAGCCUGAUGCAGCGACGCCGCGUGAGGGAUGACGGCCUUCGGGUUGUAAACCUCUUUCAGCAGGGAAGAAGCGAAAGUGACGGUACCUGCAGAAGAAGCACCGGCUAACUACGUGCCAGCGGCCGCGGUAAUACGUAGGGUGCCAGCGUUGUCCGGAAUUAUUGGGCGUAAAGAGCUUGAAGGUGGUUGGUCGCGUCUGCUGUGAAAAUCCGAGGCUCAACCUCGGACUCGCCGUGGGUACGGGCAGACUUGAGUGUGGUAGGGGAGACUGGAAUUCCUGGUGUAGCGGUGGAAUGCGCAGAUAUCAGGAGGAACACCGAUGGCGAAGGCAGGUCUCUGGGCUAUUACUGACGCUGAGAAGCGAAAGCAUGGGGAGCGAACAGGAUUAGAUACCCUGGUAGUCCAUGCCGUAAACGUUGGGAACUAGGUGUGGGUCUUAUUCCGCGAGAUCCGUGCCGCAGCUAACGCAUUAAGUUCCCCGCCUGGGGAGUACGGCCGCAAGGCUAAAACUCAAAGGAAUUG